UUUUAAUAAAAAAUUAAUUAAUAAAAAAUUAAAUGAAAUCAUUAAAUUUAAAUAAUUUGGCGGUAUUUUAAAUAGUUAGAGGAAUUUGUUAAAUAAAUGAUAAUCCACGAAUGGAGGGUCCUAAAUAUUAUUUUAUGUAUUGUUGUAUAAAAAUUAUUUUAUAAAAAUUAUGAUUAAAAAAUUAUAUUUAAUUUUAAUUCAAAUCAAAAUGUAGAUUUAUUAGGUAUUAAUGAAUUACAAUUUAAUUAAAAAUUAAAUUUAUUUUUUUAAUAAAAAUAAUGAAAUAGGAUUUAAAAGUAAAUUUAAAAAAAUAUUUAAAUUGAAAAAUUAAUUAAAAUAUG
RNAcentral lists this ribosomal RNA (341 nucleotides) under Pheidole sensitiva. Its description in RNAcentral is "partial 12S ribosomal RNA". The record is from RNAcentral. Lineage: Eukaryota; Metazoa; Arthropoda; Insecta; Hymenoptera; Formicidae.